UACGGGGGGAGCAAGCGUUGUUCGGAUUUACUGGGCGUAAAGGGCGCGUAGGCGGUCAGCACAAGUCAGUUGUGAAAUUCCUGGGCUUAACCUGGGGGCUGCAUUUGAUACGUGGUUGCUUGAGUGGGGAAGAGGGUCGUGGAAUUCCCAGUGUAGAGGUGAAAUUCGUAGAUAUUGGGAAGAACACCGGUGGCGAAGGCGGCGACCUGGUCCUUGACUGACGCUGAGGCGCGAAAGCGUGGGGAGCAAACAGG
RNAcentral lists this ribosomal RNA (254 nucleotides) under uncultured bacterium. RNAcentral describes it as "partial 16S ribosomal RNA". It matches the Rfam family "Bacterial small subunit ribosomal RNA", at positions 524 to 776 of the family's 1533-position model. The record is from RNAcentral.